Molecule: ribosomal RNA, 301 nt
Filed under: uncultured bacterium
Lineage: Bacteria
Description: partial 16S ribosomal RNA
Rfam family: Bacterial small subunit ribosomal RNA
Source: RNAcentral
CAGCCGCCACGGGAAUACGUAGGGUGCAAGCGUUAAUCGGAAUUACUGGGCGUAAAGCGUGCGCAGGCGGUGUUGUAAGACUGAUGUGAAAUCCCCGGGCUCAACCUGGGAACUGCAUUGGUGACUGCAACGCUGGAGUGCGGCAGAGGGGGAUGGAAUUCCGCGUGUAGCAGUGAAAUGCGUAGAUAUGCGGAGGAACACCGAUGGCGAAGGCAAUCCCCUGGGCCUGCACUGACGCUCAUGCACGAAAGCGUGGGGAGCAAACAGGAUUAGAUACCCCCGUAGUCCCUGUCUCUUAUAC